Molecule: long non-coding RNA, 253 nt
Filed under: Parus major (Great Tit)
Lineage: Eukaryota; Metazoa; Chordata; Aves; Passeriformes; Paridae
Description: lncRNA (ENSPMJG00000012504.1)
Source: RNAcentral
CAUCACUCCUUUUGUGUUUGCCAGGAGGAAACACAUGGCAUUAGUCUGCCUGCAGUCUACACAGACAAGAUCAGUGGCUGCUCCUGGUCAUCAUCCUGAUGGUAACACUUGGAACAUUACAGUAGAUAAUAUCCUUCAAACAACUUGGAGGCUGCUGAAAUGUGGAUUGCAAACACAACAGAUCUCAUGGAUGUUUGCCUAACAUGGAAGGUCCCUGGCAGACCAGCACACAGCCAGUGCAGUUCUUUGGUUU